RNAcentral lists this long non-coding RNA (359 nucleotides) under Monodelphis domestica (gray short-tailed opossum). RNAcentral describes it as "lncRNA (ENSMODG00000037892.1)". The record is from RNAcentral. Lineage: Eukaryota; Metazoa; Chordata; Mammalia; Didelphimorphia; Didelphidae.
ACAUGAAAAUCAAUGCUUCUACAUGACAUUUCUAAUAGCUCAGAAGGGAUCACUAAAAUGGCCAGAACAUGGUGACUGAGCUGGGAGGAAGAGGAAGAGAAAGAGGAAGAGACACCAAACAAGAAAGAAACAGCACGGAGAUUGAAUAUCUGCAAACAAUGUCACUCACUGCAUCAGAAAAAAGAAAUUCUAAAGGUAAGGGACCCAUAAAUUCAACCUUAAUAGAUUCUUUUUGUCUCAGAACCAUCUUAAUGGAAGUUAGUGAAUGCUGGAUUGGACCUAAUUGUCAAAGUUGCUUAGAAAACAAUCAGUUCUGAGAUAGCGGAAGAACAGUCUGACAAUAUUAACCUGAGCACUGA